RNAcentral lists this ribosomal RNA (251 nucleotides) under uncultured prokaryote. RNAcentral's name for it is "partial 16S rRNA". It matches the Rfam family "Bacterial small subunit ribosomal RNA", at positions 525 to 775 of the family's 1533-position model. The record is from RNAcentral.
ACGGGGGGUGCAAGCGUUGUUCGGAAUCAUUGGGCGUAAAGCGCGCGCAGGCGGCUUGGGAAGUCAGAUGUGAAAUCCCUGGGCUUAACCCAGGAAGUGCAUUGGAUACUGCCUCGCUUGAGUACGGGAGAGGAAAGUGGAAUUCCUGGUGUAGAGGUGAAAUCCGUAGAGAUCAGGAGGAACACCGGUGGCGAAGGCGACUUUCUGUCCGGGUACUGACGCUGAGGCGCGAAAGCGUGGGGAGCAAACAG